Molecule: ribosomal RNA, 492 nt
Filed under: uncultured bacterium
Lineage: Bacteria
Description: partial 16S ribosomal RNA
Rfam family: Bacterial small subunit ribosomal RNA
Source: RNAcentral
AGUGAACGCUGGCGGUGGGCCUAACACAUGCAAGUCGAACGGCAGCACAGUAAGAGCUUGCUCUUACGGGUGGCGAGUGGCGGACGGGUGAGGAAUACAUCGGAAUCUACUUUUUCGUGGGGGAUAACGUAGGGAAACUUACGCUAAUACCGCAUACGACCUACGGGUGAAAGCAGGGGAUCUUCGGACCUUGCGCGAUUGAAUGAGCCGAUGUCGGAUUAGCUAGUUGGCGGGGUAAAGGCCCACCAAGGCGACGAUCCGUAGCUGGUCUGAGAGGAUGAUCCGCCACACUGGAACUGAGACACGGUCCAGACUCCUACGGGAGGCAGCAGUGGGGACUAUUGGACAAUGGGCGCAAGCCUGAUCCAGCCAUACCGCGUGGGUGAAGAAGGCCUUCGGGUUGUAAAGCCCUUUUGUUGGGAAAGAAAAGCAGCAGGUUAAUACCCCGCUGUUCUGACGGUACCCAAAGAAUAAGCACCGGCUAACUUCGUG